CCUACGGGAGGCAGCAGUAGGGAAUAUUGCUCAAUGGGGGAAACCCUGAAGCAGCAACGCCGCGUGGAGGAUGAAGGUUUUCGGAUUGUAAACCUCUUUUGUUAGAGAAGAUAUUGACGGUAUCUAACGAAUAAGCACCGGCUAACUCCGUGCCAGCAGUCGCGGGAAUACGGAGGGUGCAAGCGUUAAUCGGAAUCACUGGGCGUAAAGAGCGCGUAGGCGGGAUAGCAAGUCCGAAGUGAAAUCCUAUGGCUUAACCAUAGAACUGCAUUUGAAACUGUUAUUCUAGAGUAUAGGAGAGGUAGGUGGAAUUCUUGGUGUAGGGGUGAAAUGCGUAGAGAUCAAGAGGAACACUCAUUGCGAAGGCGGCCUACUGGAACGUAACUGACGCUGAUGCUCGAAAGCGUGGGGAGCAAACAGGAUUAGAUACCCGAGUAGUC
RNAcentral lists this ribosomal RNA (440 nucleotides) under uncultured bacterium. RNAcentral describes it as "partial 16S ribosomal RNA". It matches the Rfam family "Bacterial small subunit ribosomal RNA", at positions 338 to 795 of the family's 1533-position model. The record is from RNAcentral.